This is a long non-coding RNA of Cephus cinctus (wheat stem sawfly), 3659 nucleotides long. RefSeq lists it as uncharacterized. The record is from RefSeq and is a predicted model, not a curated record. NCBI's taxonomy places the organism in Eukaryota, Metazoa, Arthropoda, Insecta, Hymenoptera, Cephidae. The transcript is spliced from 8 exons.
CGUAAAGCAGGAAAUUGAUGCUGAAAUUGGUGUAGUAAAGAAGCAUGAAGAAUUGUUGUAGACACCACAGCAGAGCAGGUGUGUCCUUCUUCGCAAGAGUAAAGAAGAAUACGCAGAGUCGAAUGACAUAGCUGAAAACAAGAACAAGAGAAUCAUCCACACCAGCAGGCCAGCCUAGUAGAGACCAGGUUCCUGGAGGAGGAUCUCACGUCUGGAAAAUAGAGUCAGGGCGCGCUCGUUGAGCUUACGUAUACAUCGGGCCGCCACCUCCGGGAUUUGAUAGGUUGUUCGCGGCGUCGACGUCGCUGCCGUCGUAGGCGGCGGCUGGUGACGUGAAUGAUGGGAAUGAUUACUCUUUGAUGAGUGGAAUGAUUGUUGGGAUGGCUGCCGUCGACCGCCAACACCAGGAUCCAGUGUCAGUCCUGCUGGUCCAUUAUUACUGCUACUGGCACUCUGUGCAGAAAUCGAUAUAGGUAUCAUUUCAAAGAUCACUAUUAUUUGAGGGGACACAUUAUUAAGGUUCAGAUAGAUCUUGUAUUUAUGAACAGAUCUCUCAGUUGUCAAAGAAGCAUGGUAAUCUUUUCUUGAAGAGUGUAAAAAAAAGUUUGCAGACUCGGGUGUACGUGUCUUGGCAAACAGAUAUUUCUCAUUUUCAUAUUGAUUAAGGUGAUUACUGAAUCCUGUGUCUUGAGAAUACGUGAUUUUUAAAAAAAUUUUAGUUUUUUUUUUAAAUGUAGAUCGUUGCCGCGCGUUUGCCAUUACUUAUUUAUGUUACAUGGUGGGGGAGGGAGUAGAAUUCAUUAGAAUUUUCUUACAUAUUUUAUAAUAUUUACUUAAAUCCUAAACAAUCAUUAUUUUUCAAAGUACACGUGACCAUGUGGCCUAAGUAAAUAUUCACAGUAAUGCAUAUUAUUAAAUAUCACAGAAAAUCCAAUUAAUUUCCAAGAGAGUCAACGAAGAACGGAAGAGAAAAUUGCAUUUCCCACGUAAUUUAUUUGAGCCUGUAACAUCACGAAAUAUUCAGUUUUCAAGGCUCGCGCAAGAACAUUUUAAUUAACUACGAUUACAUCGGCUCAUAUAGUAAAUAUUAGUUCAAUCUAUCAUUCGUUAACCGUAUUAUUCACGUCGAUCUUGCUCAGAUUUAUUCAAGACGACAAUGGCACACACUGUACAAAAAGUUCUACCAUAAUAAUACAGUACACACCCUAAUCUUGCUUUGCACCCUUUGCACUUGGUAUAACAUUAGAAUUAUGAUGAUAAAAUUUGAUUUACCCUCUUUUAUUAUUGACCAUUAUUUGUUGCUUUUAAUUGGAAAAAAAAAACUUUUAAAAAAUUCGACUACUUUCCCAUAAAAGUUUAUACGAUAAAUAACACCUAAGAAAAACCGGAUAGAGAAUCGUGGUUACUCGGUUUCGCCUCGGGAAGUUUCGGUAAACAGGCAGAUUUUUUUCAUUUAUUACCUUUUUGAAUUUAUACCUGUCAGUCGUUAUUUGGAUCUCGAGUGCGCGGGUCAGUUGAUUAUAAUGGUAGAGCUGUUUUGAAGUGCUUACUUCAAUUACGGAUUUCAUCGCUUUUCUGUAAACUGGAUUCUGGAAUAUUGCUGAAUCGACCAUUUUAAAUGGGAAUUUGAUUUUGGAUCGAUGAAUGGACCACUUGAUUGACAGCUGAAUAUUCGUGGACCAGGAUCAUCGGAUCGGCAGAUUAUCCAUGGAUAAAUAACGCGGCGAAUUCAUCGUCGGUAAAGUCUUAUAGACGGGAAACCCUAUUAACUUUGAGCCAGUCAUACAUAAAUAUGGAUCUGUAAUGGGAAGUCGACUUAACCUGACUUUCGGGCACGUCUUGGAAAACUCUUUCGCAGAAAGUUAGCGCAGGGUGUCUCGCUCACGCUCUCGCGCCCUGCCUACAAGAGCGUCUCGCUCCGACUCACAGCGAUGUGACGAAAAUCCUGAAUUUUCAGAUUAAGAGUUACAGCGCCUACAUAACAUUGUCGUCUGCCUCGAGUUAAUUAAAUCUUGGAUUAUCUUAAUUUUGACACUUGGUCGUGGGUUCCCUACUAAACGUGUAAUCACGAGCUGACGCAACAAACGUAAAACUUUGAUAUACGGCCGAGCUGGAAAAGAGGUUGUUUUUAAGGGGUUUGAUCGUCAUUAGGAGCACCGAGGUCCUUUUCAAGAAAAUUCUAGUCACGCGGCGUUACAUAAUUUCCAAUAGAAACCCAUAUAACUCCAGUGGAUCGAUGUCGAACACAGCGGGAAUGUAUCGUGGGUUCCAGAGGGUCAUGACGCUAGGCUGCUGAUGCUGGACGUACGAUGAUUGAUGGGCGGAGAGUGAUAACCAAGGGCGCCAAUCAUCCCCUAUCGUGUGAUCAGUCCGAGAACAUCAGCGGGCAUCGCGUCUAUUUGUCAUUUUACUUUCAUUGCGACGAGUAUUUACUAAUGGUAUUAUCAUUUGUCGCUGAUGGUAAUACCAAGAUGGCGUCGACAGGGUUUUAGAGAACGAGAGGGAGAGACACGAGUUACAUGAAAAUACAUAUAAACCCUUAUGGCUGAGACUACGUUAUACUUGAUAACGAUAAGGAAGUAGAGCUCUUCGUUUGACGUAAUGGCCUAUUCUCAAUUGUAUCCAAUGAAUCGAGGAUUAAAUUUAUUUGCUGCCACAGAAAUUUAUCACUUGAGUUAAACAACUCUCGUUCUCUCUCGUUGGGGUAGCUCAUCUUGUAUUGGGAGAAGGAUGGAUAUCUUUUUUUUUUCUGAAGGGGAUUCUUUAUCACUACCACUGUGCUGUACAGUACUGAUUGAACGAAUUGAAUCAGUGUAUUCGAUAAUGGAUUGAAUUGGUAUAUUUUUUUUGGGGAAAGUGAGCUAUUUUCUUUCAUGAGACUUUUAUACGCAUGAAUGGUAUCGUCUUGCGUGGGUGAAAUGUUGCGCAGGGUUAGUUAAGAGCGAAGGAGCGGACGACGAUUGGUCGAGGGGGGAGGGAUGCUGGAAAAUAAAAGUGGGCGAAUAACUUUGGGUAGUGUAUUUUGAGAAAAUUUUCAAAGAUCUGACAAUCGAUUCAAUCAAAGGAAUUGACAGGAAUGAAUGUUAUCGAGGGAUCUUCUCGGGGUGGCUUUUACUCUUGGCAACGUGUCUCUAUGAUAAGCUGCCAUAUAUCAUGCGAUUGAUUGAUGCGAUAAAAAUGAUACCUAGUAAGGCCAUAACUGUUCGUUGGUAUAAAAUAGGGAUGACCGAUCCAACAUUUUUAUGGGAAUAUUAAAUUUGAAAUUUAUAUCAAUUUCAUAUAAAAUAUCGUUGAUCAAUGUUCUUCCGUACGUCCAGUACCUGUCAGUACUGUCAAUUUAAAUUUGUAAUCGGUUUCAGCAAUUGGGCCUAAUUUUAUCAAAAGCUGCACUCUGCUCGUGGCUCUCUGACGCUUUUAUGAAUUUUAAUAAGAAACAUGGAGCGCAGUGUAUUUGUCCUUUGUACUUUGUGCUUUGCUGUGUAUGUCUCUUUUUCAAGAAAAUUACAUAUGGCGUCGUACGUGUUCAAUCAAGGAACGUAAAUAUUUCGCGACGGUGCUUACGUUAUCGUCUUUAAAUUUAGUCCUUUAAUUACGUCAGGAUAUCGAUCCGAGCUUUACGCGCUUUUGUAUAUGCAUAAUGCAUGGGGUAAAUACGCUUA